Long non-coding RNA from Carassius auratus (goldfish), 291 nucleotides. RefSeq lists it as uncharacterized. Lineage: Eukaryota; Metazoa; Chordata; Actinopteri; Cypriniformes; Cyprinidae. The transcript has 3 exons. The record is from RefSeq and is a predicted model, not a curated record.
CCAAUCAGAUAUAACUGCACCCAAACGCUUCAGUAAUGGUUGCGAUUGAUCAAACGUUGCCAGAUGCUGUCCUGUUGGAAAUUCUUCUUUACGUGAUCCUGGAGGAGGGUGAUGCUACAAUAUUAAGUCUGUCUUUGGUUUGUUCCAAAUUCAGAAGUCUGCUGUACUGUAUACAGACUCCUUUCGAAAGAGGGCACAAUCCAGCUGGCUUGACUGAGUGGAACAAAAUGGAGAACAAGUCUAAGCCAUGUCAGGAAUUCAACAAAAUGUACACCUUGCAGACACUGCGAC